This 378-nucleotide ribosomal RNA is filed under the name uncultured bacterium. RNAcentral describes it as "bacterial SSU rRNA". It matches the Rfam family "Bacterial small subunit ribosomal RNA", at positions 790 to 1167 of the family's 1533-position model. The record is from RNAcentral.
GUAGUCCACGCCGUAAACGUUGGGCGCUAGGUGUGGGGAACCUUCCACGUUCUCCGUGCCGCAGCUAACGCAUUAAGCGCCCCGCCUGGGGAGUACGGCCGCAAGGCUAAAACUCAAAGGAAUUGACGGGGGCCCGCACAAGCGGCGGAGCAUGUGGCUUAAUUCGACGCAACGCGAAGAACCUUACCAAGGCUUGACAUAUACCGAAAACUCAUAGAGAUAUGGGGUCCGCAAGGGCGGUAUACAGGUGGUGCAUGGUUGUCGUCAGCUCGUGUCGUGAGAUGUUGGGUUAAGUCCCGCAACGAGCGCAACCCUCGUUCUAUGUUGCCAGCGCGUAAUGGCGGGGACUCUAGCGAGACUGCCGAUAUUCAAAUCGGA